RNAcentral lists this non-coding RNA (94 nucleotides) under Bombus terrestris (buff-tailed bumblebee). Lineage: Eukaryota; Metazoa; Arthropoda; Insecta; Hymenoptera; Apidae. The record is from RNAcentral.
UUGUAGUAUGAUAGGAGAGACGUUUAACACUCCCCUAGACAAGGAUGUAUAAGGUAAGGGGCACUGUCGCCUUUCGGCGGCACUUACCAGAUUU